Molecule: ribosomal RNA, 385 nt
Filed under: uncultured bacterium
Lineage: Bacteria
Description: bacterial SSU rRNA
Rfam family: Bacterial small subunit ribosomal RNA
Source: RNAcentral
AAUCAACGCUGGCGGCGUGCCUAACACAUGCAAGUCGAACGAGAAGGUGACUUCGGUCACUGGAUAGUGGCGUCCGGGUGAGUAACACGUAGGUAAUCUACCUUCGGGUGGGGAAUAACGUCUCGAAAGAGACGCUAAUACCGCAUAAUGCAGCGGCACCUAAUGGUGAUUAGUUGUUAAAGCGGGGGAUCUUCGGACCUCGCGCCUGAAGAGGAGCCUGCGGCAGAUUAGCUAGUUGGUGAGGUAAUGGCUCACCAAGGCUUCGAUCUGUAGCUGGUCUGAGAGGACGGCCAGCCACACUGGCACUGACACACGGGCCAGACUCCUACGGGAGGCAGCAGUAAGGAAUAUUGCGCAAUGGGCGAAAGCCUGACGCAGCGACGCC